AGGCCGCGCGGACUCGGGGCGGUCCCGGGGCCUGGGCGUCUGGCGUCACCCCGCUUGGAGUGGGAGCUGGGCCGGCCGGGGUCGCCGUCCGAGGCCGGUCGUGGGGAUUUCGAGCACUGCGAACACGGCGCCGUCCGCGCCGCCCUCCGUCCUCGGUCACACACGGCCCUGUGAGUUUCCCUUCCGGACUCCCACCGUCGCCGGGAACGAACGGAGGCGCCGGCUGCGGCCCCGCAGGGUGCCCCGACCGCGGCUCCCGAGAGGCCCCUCGCCAGCAGCCGCCCGCGCCGCGGAGGGCUCGGCCCGACUCCCUGCUCCACCUCGGGGCGCAGUGGCAGCCAGGUUCCGGGGCUCCUCCGUCCGCGUCCUCUUCAGCCUCGUUCGAAUGUGACAGCAGCUGGGUCAUGUUGUCCAAACGUACCAGGAGCCCCAGAUCCUCCCUGCAGCGCGUGCCCCAGCGCGCCCGGUGGCCCAGGAGCCCCUGCACCCCCGCAGCCGUCCUGUCCCGCCUCCUUCCAGCUCCCAAAAGGGACCGCAGAUGGGGACUGCCGGAGUCCGGGCCUGGGGCAACACCCAGCCUGAGACGGGCAGGCCCUGGGCUCGGGCGGGCAUGGAUCUGGCCUCAGCAGGGCCCCAGGAGUCAGGUUGACUCAGCCCCUCACUCCUGCCACCCUCUGCAGUGAUGGGGGGCUUCCUCCCCAUGGUCACUCCCAGAGGUCCCAGCUCGGUGCCCAAUCAAGGCCUGACCCCGUGGUCCCCAGGGGCUGCUGGAGAGGCCGCAGGGCAGGAGAGACAGACCCUUAGAAGUAUGAUGGGGGCCGGGCCCUAGGUAGCUCACACAUGUAAUCCCAACAUUUUGGGAGGCAGAGGCAGGCGGAUCACUUGAGGUCAGGAGUUUAAGACCAGCCUGGCCAACAUGGCGAACUCCCCACCCACAACUCUACAAAAAAAUACAAAAAUUAGCCGGGCGUGGUGGCACAUGCCUGUAAUCCCAGUAACUUGGGAAACUGAGGAAGGAGAAUUGCUUGUGAUUGAGAGGCGAGGUUGCAGUGAGCCCAUGUCGCGCUCGCCACUGCACUCUAGCCUGAGCAACAUAGGGAGACCAUCUCAAAAAAAAGGCCGGGCGCGGUGGCUCACGCCUGUAAUCCCAGCACUUUGGGAGGCCAAGGUGGGCGGAUCAUGAGGUCAGGACAUCGAGACCAUCCUGUGAAUGGUGAAACCCCGUCUCUACUAAAAAUACAAAAAAAUUAGCCGGGCAUAGUGGCGGGUGCCUGCAGUCCCAGCUACUCGGGAGGCUGAGGCGGGAGAAUGGCGUGAACCCGGGAGGCGGAGCUUGGAGUGAGCCGAGAUCGCGCCACUGCACUCCAGCCUGGGCGACAGGGCAAGACUCCGUCUCAAAAAACAAAAAAAAGUCUGGUGGACAGGCUGGGCCUACCCCCAGGGGACCCCAGGGCAAGCCUGGGCAGAGCUCCAGGAGGCGUGCAGCAGCGCCCAGCCAGUCUCAGAUGUGCGUCAGCCACAGGCUCCAGGGGCCACGUGCCUGGCCACACCUGCUGGUUUCCAAAACACCCAGCACCUGCAGGCCCAGCCUCCCCAGGAGGGGCAGCACCCCUGCUUGAGGACUCCUGGUUCCACCCAAAUCCCUGCUGCUUGGGGUCCUCUUCCACCCCUGGGCAGCCCCCAUGCCCUCAGGCCUCCCAGACCACCACCUUGGCCUGUGCCCCCUCCAGGACCUCACUGGUCCCCAUGCCGUACCCCACCCCUUAUUGCCUCCUCCAAGCAAACCUUGCAUCAGCUCCCAGGAGACACACGCUGGAGCAUGCUGGAGCCUCAGGACAGCAUUCUAGACAAACAGCCUCAGGCCCCAGGGGCAGUCCCAGGAGAAGGCCGUGGCUUUGGGAAAACAGGUGAUGAAUGCUAAUGGCCUUUUUGGCAAGAAUGGAAAAGCUGAUCCUCAAAUUCAUGUGGAAUUGCAAGGGCCCUGAAUAAUCAGAACAAUCUUGAAAACAAAGAACAAGGCCAGGCACGGUGGAUCACUCUUGUCAUCCCACCACAGUGAGAGGUUGAAGUGGGAGGAUCUCUUGAGCCCAGGAGUUCGAGACCAGCCUGGGCACCAUAGGGAUACCCUCUGUCUACAAACAAAACAUUAAAAAAAAAUUAGCUGGG
This is a long non-coding RNA of Homo sapiens (human), 2166 nucleotides long. RefSeq lists it as uncharacterized. Lineage: Eukaryota; Metazoa; Chordata; Mammalia; Primates; Hominidae. The record is from RefSeq and is a predicted model, not a curated record. The transcript has 2 exons.